This 239-nucleotide ribosomal RNA is filed under the name uncultured bacterium. RNAcentral's name for it is "partial 16S ribosomal RNA". It matches the Rfam family "Bacterial small subunit ribosomal RNA", at positions 116 to 354 of the family's 1533-position model. The record is from RNAcentral.
CGUGAGGAACCUGCCUUGGAGUGGGGAAUAACAGCUAGAAAUAGCUGCUAAUACCGCAUAAAGCAGUUGGGUCGCAUGACUCUGACUGCCAAAGAUUUAUCGCUCUGAGAUGGCCUCGCGUCUGAUUAGAUAGUUGGCGGGGUAACGGCCCACCAAGUCGACGAUCAGUAGCCGGACUGAGAGGUUGGCCGGCCACAUUGGGACUGAGACACGGCCCAGACUCCUACGGGAGGCAGCAG